GUGCUGUGACAAGGCUAAUCAGUCAGCUGAGAACGCUAUGUUAACUCGGUUGUGGGAGAUUUGGGAGAAUCUGCUCAGCCACCACGGUCACCCUUUGAUUUUAAACGUGGGUCAUUUUCGUUAAGGGUUGCUAGCCUGCACACUAGGAUUAGCUUAACCUUCAUGUGACCAAAUAUUUCAAGCUAAAAUAACGGUAGGAUAACUUGUCACCUGUUAGCCUUGAUAAAUUUGAAGGUUGAAUGAACGUUGAUGUUAGCCUGCUGACCAGGUGAUUUUCGCAAACUAACGUUACAUAUCACUAGCAGUUAAAGUUAAACGUCAUCGAUAUUUUUGACGCUACUGUUAAGCGAAUAGUUUAUCGGCGUUAGUACAAAACGUUACCGUUGGUGUAUGUUUCUAACGUUAUGUUACGUUAACGUUACAGUUAUAUGGAGUGACCGUAAAUUGCGGGCUAAGUUAACGUUACUCUUAGCUAUCAAUAAAUUACCCACGUUAUAUAGCUAUGACAACGUCAGCUAACGUUAGUGUAUGACUUGUAGACAGACCCUCUCAUGAUUCAAGUCAUUAAGAAGACAUCAACGACGUGCUGUUGGUAACAGAGCACCUCUCUUCACCAGUCAACGCUACUGUCGGAAUCCUUGUGUAAACGGACGCGCCCACCAAGAUGAACCACAGCGCAGCUCCCAGUUACCCCAUGGCCUCCUUGUACGUCGGGGAUCUCCAUCCUGAUGUGACCGAGGCAAUGCUAUAUGAGAAGUUCAGUCCUGCCGGCCCCAUACUUUCAAUUCGGGUUUGCAGGGAUAUGAUAACACGUCGCUCCCUCGGAUAUGCCUAUGUAAACUUUCAGCAACCGGCAGACGCUGAGCGAGCACUGGACACCAUGAACUUUGAUGUCAUCAAGGGCAGGCCUGUGCGCAUUAUGUGGUCCCAGCGUGACCCUUCCCUCAGAAAGAGUGGUGUUGGAAACAUAUUCAUUAAAAACCUGGACAAGUCCAUCGACAACAAGGCCCUUUAUGAUACAUUUUCGGCUUUCGGAAACAUCCUCUCUUGCAAGGUGGUUUGUGAUGAGAAUGGCUCAAAGGGCUACGGCUUUGUACACUUUGAGACCCAGGAGGCGGCAGAGAGAGCCAUAGAGAAAAUGAACGGCAUGCUGCUUAAUGAUCGCAAAGUGUUCGUGGGGCGUUUCAAGUCCCGCAAGGAACGAGAGGCCGAGCUGGGUGCCCGUGCUAAGGAGUUCACCAACGUCUACAUCAAGAACUUUGGAGAGGACAUGGACGAUGAAAAACUGCGCGAGAUCUUUGGCAAGUUUGGCCCUGCACUGAGCAUCAGGGUGAUGACGGAUGAGAGCGGGAGGUCCAAAGGCUUCGGCUUCGUCAGCUAUGAGAGACACGAGGACGCACAGAGGGCCGUGGAUGAGAUGAAUGGGAAGGAGCUGAACGGUAAGCUGGUGUACGUGGGCCGGGCACAGAAGAAGGUGGAGCGGCAGACGGAGCUCAAGCGCAAAUUUGAGCAGAUGAAGCAUGACCGCAUGACCCGCUACCAGGGUGUGAAUCUCUAUGUGAAGAACCUGGAUGAUGGGUUGGAUGAUGAGCGCCUGCGUAAAGAGUUCUCCCCAUUUGGGACAAUUACCAGUGCCAAGGUCAUGAUGGAGGGCGGCCGCAGCAAAGGCUUUGGCUUUGUGUGCUUCUCCUCGCCAGAGGAGGCCACCAAGGCUGUGACUGAGAUGAACGGGCGCAUCGUGGCCACCAAGCCCCUGUACGUGGCGCUGGCGCAGCGCAAGGAGGAGCGCCAGGCCCACCUCACCAACCAGUACAUGCAGAGGAUGGCCACCGUCCGGGCCGUGCCCAACCCGGUCAUCAACCCCUACCAGCCCGCGCCACCCUCCGGCUACUUCAUGGCCGCCAUCCCCCAGGCCCAGAACCGCGCUGCGUACUACCCCACCAGCCAGCUGGCUCAGCUCAGACCUGGCCCACGCUGGGCCACCCAGGGCAUGCGCCCUCAGCAUUUCCAGAGCAUGCAAGCAAACACCAUGCGGCCGUCCGCACCUCGUCCGCAGACCUUCAGCACUGUGAGACCGGCCUCCCAGGUGCCACGCAUGGUGGCAUCUCAGCGCAUGACCUCUCAGAGUCUUGGCCCACGGCCGGCCAGUGCCACAGCUCCCACUGCUGCACCGGUGCGCGGCGUUCCCCAAUACAAGUAUGCUGCAGGAGUGAGGAACCCACAGCUGGGCUCACAGCCACACUCCGCCAUGCAGCAGCCUGCUGUCCAUGUCCAAGGCCAGGAGCCGCUGACGGCCUCCAUGCUGGCAGCAGCCCCCCCACAGGAGCAGAAGCAGAUGUUGGGAGAGCGCCUGUUCCCACUGAUCCAGAACAUGCACCCCAACCUGGCGGGGAAGAUCACAGGCAUGCUGCUGGAGAUCGACAACUCCGAGCUCCUCCACAUGUUAGAGUCUCCAGAGUCUCUGCGCUCCAAGGUGGAUGAGGCCGUGGCUGUGCUGCAGGCUCACCAGGCUAAAGAGGCCGCUCAGAAGUCCGUUACUGGCCCAGCUGUGCCAGCUGUUUAAUGACGAGAUGUUUUCACAGCUGGCUCGUUUGGAGCAGUUGAAUAGGAAUGUUCGAAGAUCGGUUAGUUUGGGAAUGGGAAUGCUGCAGCUUGCUUCACUGGUUAAAAGAAGUUAUGAAAAAGAAAGAAAAAUAUUAAACAUUGAAAAAAGCUAAAACCCAGAAAACAUUGCAAAAGGAAAAAAAAGCUAAAAAAUGGAAUGAAAAUCAGAAUUGUUUUACCAGGUCUGGGAAGAAAGUGUCUAGACCUUGAUUAUUUACAUAGGAAAAAAAAAGGAGGAAAAAAAAUGAAAAAUUGUUUGAUGUUUGAGAAAUUAUUUUAAAAUGAAAGCCCUGUCUUUUCCCAGUACUGUACGGAUGCACAGAAUAUUAUGUUUGGAACAAAAUCCUACAUGAUAGCUAGGCUCUGGAGAGAUGUCUGGAUUAAGAACUGCUUGCUAUAAUAAAAUCUCACACUGAA
Molecule: RNA transcript, 3021 nt
Organism: Alosa sapidissima (American shad)
Lineage: Eukaryota; Metazoa; Chordata; Actinopteri; Clupeiformes; Clupeidae
Gene name: polyadenylate-binding protein 1A-like
Exons: 16
Source: RefSeq, a predicted model, not a curated record